Molecule: long non-coding RNA, 615 nt
Organism: Antechinus flavipes (yellow-footed antechinus)
Lineage: Eukaryota; Metazoa; Chordata; Mammalia; Dasyuromorphia; Dasyuridae
Exons: 3
Source: RefSeq, a predicted model, not a curated record
GAUGGUAAGCAGACAGGCUAAAGUGGACCUGCAGGUCACCAGAUAAUUCUUUGUCAGGGGCAGUCAGUAUGAAAAAGUCAUUCCCUCUUCUUUGGAGAUUACAGUAUUAAUUUUGAAGGGGUGUUACCAUUACAAUCUGGAAGGUAAGGAUAGUCUAUGUAUGGGACAGGAAGGCAAUAGUUGUUGUGGAGAGCCAUUAUGACAGCAGUAGCCUCACAGCCUGAACCACAAGACUCAAGAUUAGAUCAGUAUAUUAUAAUGCAGAGUUGUGUAUCUAUAGGAAGGAAGAAGACUUCUCCCUUAUGUAUAACACUGCACACUCUCAGGAUCUGGACCAUUAGGAUGGGAGAGACCUGGAUAUAACUGGAAGCAAAAGAAGAUUCAGAAAAAUUCAAUGAGAUGGAAUAAUCAAAGAGCUAAGCUCCAAGAGGAGACAGAAGCAGGUAGAGGGAAGAUUAUUAUUGAAGAAUGUGGAUAUGCCAGAUAGUCACUCCUUCACUCAGGAUGUGUACACAAAAGAAGAGAGAAAAUUAAUCAUCAACUAUAUAGACGUUCCAAAUCUAAGUAUAUGUACUUCCAAUGAGGAAGAGGAGUUUGUCAAGUGGAUAUGGAAAA